RNAcentral lists this long non-coding RNA (398 nucleotides) under Elaeis guineensis (African oil palm). Its description in RNAcentral is "long non-coding RNA (EGUI_LNC048433)". The record is from RNAcentral. Lineage: Eukaryota; Viridiplantae; Streptophyta; Magnoliopsida; Arecales; Arecaceae.
UUUAGGUUGUGCAACAAGAGUCCAACGCUUUUUCUUUUUCCCUUGUUGAUUUCUCUAUAUAUGUUCAUAAGUAGUCAUCUUGUAGGGUUUUAAUGUGGGCUUUUUGUUAUUUUAAUUUCCUCUUCAUUUUGGGAUUUCAUAGUUUUACUAGAAUUGGAUUCUCGAUUCGGCGCUUAGACUGUGAUGUAGAAUUACCCCACUUCGUUUCUGGAUUCUAGAAUUUGACGAGAAUUGGAUUCUUGAUCAGUGCUUGGACCGUGAUUUAGAAUUACUGGAAGCUAGUGUGAGACUCUGUGUCGGAAUCUGUUAUCACCAGUUUGGUAUUGGCUUCGGUAUCUAUUGCUACGUCAGGAAAAUCUUUUCGUGGGAUCAAGAAACUAGGGUUUACUUGAAUCUUU